RNAcentral lists this ribosomal RNA (305 nucleotides) under uncultured bacterium. Its description in RNAcentral is "bacterial SSU rRNA". It matches the Rfam family "Bacterial small subunit ribosomal RNA", at positions 333 to 655 of the family's 1533-position model. The record is from RNAcentral.
GUUCUCCUACGGGGCGCAGCAGUCGGGAAUAUUGCGCAAUGGAGGAAACUCUGACGCAGUGACGCCGCGUAUAGGAAGAAGUUUUUCGGAAUGUAAACUAUUGUCGUUAGGGAAGAGAAAGGACAGUACCUAAGGAGGAAGCUCCGGCUAACUACGUGCCAGCAGCCGCGGUAAUACGUAGGGAGCGAGCGUUAUUCGGAAUUACUGGGCGUAAAGGGUGCGUAGGUGGUUUCUUAAGUCAGAGGUGAAAGGCUACGGCUCAACCGUAGUAAGCCUUUGAAACUGGGGAACUUGAGUGCAGGAGG